GGCGCUAUAGUGUAGAGGUUAUCACACGGGAUUUUGAACGAACCCUGCAAUUAUGAUCGCCUCUGGUGAUCGCGGAAUGUCGGAUCUUCCCGUAACCCCGGUUCGAGUCCGGGUAGUGCCU
This is a non-coding RNA of Psilocybe cubensis, 121 nucleotides long. The record is from the annotation of a RefSeq genome assembly. NCBI's taxonomy places the organism in Eukaryota, Fungi, Basidiomycota, Agaricomycetes, Agaricales, Agrocybaceae.